GCUCUUCUUCUUUCUGGCCUUAUACUGUGCCUUUGAGGGGUAUGGAUGUUAUUCAGGAUAUAGCAAUGUUAGUAGAUACCCUCCUGGUCGAGUCGUCGUUAAUCUGCCGAUCGGAUUCGAUUCGGGGCCGACCCAUGUUCGCGUAUGUCGGAAGUUGCGUGCUAUGGCGAGCGACUAUCCGGACGGGUCUAACAGAUUACGUAAAUAAAAUAAGUAUUAACAAAACUCGUUGGAGUAGGUAAACGUACUAUGUACAAUGGAUUCAUUUCGGAUGUGAAAACAAUUCAAAUGCUGUAUGGCCUAUGAUUAAAUGUGAAGUUCUCAGUAAAAUGGAAUGAAAAUGCCCGUCAGAGCUGUUGAUAACUGGUAGAAAUAUGCAGUCUGUAGAUCGGUGUAUAGUUUUUACGUAAAUGCUCUCAUAAUGAUUGCUUUCUCACUCUCAAAUAAAAUUCCUGCAAUGAAAGGGGAAAACGGGAUAAUAUUGUAAAACAUCAUGAAUGCGAAAAAGGUUCAUUUGGCAAUGAUGAAUAGUGUUUCAUUUUCCUGCGUGUUUAAAUAAGUACAUUGGUGCGUACUGUGUCUGACAACUUUGACUGGCGUAGCAACUCUGGUUGUAUGUGUCAGGAGGUUGAGCAUGCGUCGGCUGCGGGGAAGUUGAUGAUGUACUUGGAGGAGCUGCAGCUUGGGAAAACGUAGAUUCUACAGAGGAACGUUGUCCUAAAUGUUCUAAUCCAAGAGCUUAUUUCAUGCAGAUUCAAACAAGAUCAGCAGAUGAGCCUAUGACUACU
RNA transcript from Schistocerca nitens (vagrant locust), 788 nucleotides. It is a transcript of the gene named DNA-directed RNA polymerase III subunit RPC10, with no coding region annotated. The transcript has 2 exons. Lineage: Eukaryota; Metazoa; Arthropoda; Insecta; Orthoptera; Acrididae. The record is from RefSeq and is a predicted model, not a curated record.